AUUGAACGCUGGCGGCAGGCCUAACACAUGCAAGUCGAGCGGAUGAAGGGAGCUUGCUCCUGGAUUCAGCGGCGGACGGGUGAGUAAUGCCUAGGAAUCUGCCUGGUAGUUGGGGAUAACGUCCGGAAACGGGCGCUAAUACCGCAUACGUCCUGAGGGAGAAAGUGGGGGAUCUUCGGACCUCACGCUAUUAGAUGAGCCUAGGUCGGAUUAGCUAGUUGGUGGGGUAAAGGCUUACCAAGGCGACGAUCCGUAACUGGUCUGAGAGGAUGAUCAGUCACACUGGAACUGAGACACGGUCCAGACUCCUACGGGAGGCAGCAGUGGGGAAUAUUGGACAAUGGGCGAAAGCCUGAUCCAGCCAUGCCGCGUGUGUGAAGAAGGUCUUCGGAUUGUAAAGCACUUUAAGUUGGGAAGAAGGAAAGUAAGUUAAUACCUUGCUGUUUUGACGUUACCAACAGAAUAAGCACCGGCUAACUUCGUG
RNAcentral lists this ribosomal RNA (484 nucleotides) under uncultured bacterium. RNAcentral describes it as "partial 16S ribosomal RNA". It matches the Rfam family "Bacterial small subunit ribosomal RNA", at positions 30 to 507 of the family's 1533-position model. The record is from RNAcentral.